Molecule: small nucleolar RNA, 107 nt
Organism: Grammomys surdaster
Lineage: Eukaryota; Metazoa; Chordata; Mammalia; Rodentia; Muridae
Source: RefSeq, a predicted model, not a curated record
AUACAGAAUAAGAAUUAAGUUAUGUAGGGCAUUGUUAGAGAAAUUGUGGUUAUAGCAAUGUACCGACCUCAGAAGCUACUGAGGUGCCAUUCUGUCCUGGUACAGUU